Molecule: small RNA, 28 nt
Filed under: Bombyx mori (domestic silkworm)
Lineage: Eukaryota; Metazoa; Arthropoda; Insecta; Lepidoptera; Bombycidae
Description: ovarian small RNA-21327
Source: RNAcentral
UACUAUGAGGGUACAAAUACAAAUGCUA